Molecule: long non-coding RNA, 119 nt
Organism: Oreochromis aureus
Lineage: Eukaryota; Metazoa; Chordata; Actinopteri; Cichliformes; Cichlidae
Exons: 2
Source: RefSeq, a predicted model, not a curated record
GGUUACUUUUCUGAAGCCUCCAUCGCAGCUGAUGCGGAGUGCUGACGUGGAGGAGACUAGGGUGCCUUGGUGGUGGGAUCCUCUGAGUGUACACACCUGCCUUGUUUAAUUUAUUAGUG